Molecule: long non-coding RNA, 1519 nt
Organism: Xenopus laevis (African clawed frog)
Lineage: Eukaryota; Metazoa; Chordata; Amphibia; Anura; Pipidae
Exons: 2
Source: RefSeq, a predicted model, not a curated record
UACCUUGGGAUAAAAUAAAAAAAAUUAAAUUUUCCAUAUUCCUCAAUCCCUGAACACCAGUUAAUCUUUGACCACCAGUAAACUGGCUUUAUUUUGAUUCAGUCAUGAAAGUAGUUUGGCACUGCCUGUAGUUGUUCUCUUGCACUUACCGGGAGUCAUUUAUUAAUGGGAUACAGAGUAACUAUUAAUGUAAAUCAUGGCACUCAAAUCUGCAAGAUGAAUUAUAUGAACACAUUAAAGGGCACUUAAUGAGUAGAGAUGGGCUAAAGAUUUAGGAGCAUAAAAUGCGUAUUAAUCAUUUCUUAUCAACACUGCGCAGGGCAGGAUAGAGAACGCAAUGCUGGGCAGGACAAAGAAUGCAACGCUGGGCAGGGCAGGAUGGAGAAUGCAAUGCUGGGAUAGGGAGGAUAGAGAAUGCAAUGCUGGGCAAGGCAGGAUACAGAACUCAACAUUGGGCAGGGCAGGACAGAGAAUGCAACGCUGGGCAAGGCAGGAUAAAGAAUGCAAUGCUGGGCAAGACAGGAUAGAGAAUGCAAUGCUGGGCAAGGCAGGAUAGAGAAUGCAAUGCUGGGCAAGACGGGAACAGAACUCAACAUUGGGAAGGGCAGGACAGAGAAUACAACGCUGGGCAAGGCAGGAUAGAGAAUGUAAUGCUGGGCAAGGCUGGAUAGAGAACUCAACAUUGGGCAGGGCAGGACAGAGAAUGUAAACGCUGGGCAAUGCAGGUUAGAGAAUGCAAUGCUCGGCAAGGCAGGAUGGAGAAUGCAAUUGUGGGCAAGGCAGUAUAGAGAAUGCAAUACUGGACAAGGCAGGAUGGAGAAUGCAAUGCUGGGCAAGGUAGGAUAGAGAAUGCAAUACUGGGCAAGAUAGGAGCAGAGUUACGUGAGACUAGAGCUCAGCACAGAAGAAUUCACUCACUUUCUGUUUAUUUCCAUGAGAUUUUUAGAAAUGUAUUUAUGAAAGGGUGACUUUUGGAUAUUUCACAGUAAGCCUCAUACACACAAUGGGUUACCAAAUAUCUGCCUUUCCAUCAAUGGCAACUGUGAAGCUGCAAUCCUGGACAACAGCCAUCCUCCCAUCCUUGCAGCUACAGUACAGUCCACAUCAAAGAGAUGCAAAUAACUGGACACACUGGUGUGGGUGCAGCGAUAGCAAGUGUUCCCAAGGACACCAGGAGCAUUGGACUAUGGGAUUUCAUCUACAGUGCAUCCUAACUUGAUUCCUCUCCCUUGUCUAUCUUAGAAGAGAUGAAUCAUCUCCAAAAACAGCUAGUAUCGACCUGAUUGGCUGGGACUGUCUUUUGGAUGCGGCUUUCCUGAGAAAAGGGUAGCAUGCUUGUUUGAAUGGUCUUCCUCAUGUGUAUAUAAAGAGCAUUGUAAAUACCUUGUUAGUUAGGCUCUUUCCACUCCCCUCCAUUACACCUUUCCCUGUCCCUUUCUUCCUUCCUCCAUCUUAGUUGGUUCUCUUUUUAUUUUAUACCUUUUCAUUCCUUUGUAAAUAAAUAUACCACUUAUUUAAA